This is a non-coding RNA of Pelobates cultripes (western spadefoot toad), 248 nucleotides long. Lineage: Eukaryota; Metazoa; Chordata; Amphibia; Anura; Pelobatidae. The record is from the annotation of a GenBank genome assembly.
CAGACAGACAGACACACACACAAAAUAUUUUAGUCACAAUCCUGUUUCCUACCUUUUUAGGUGCAGGAGGGUGACUUUCCCUGGGGUCCAGUGGUGGCUCAGGUGGAUGGGAGUCAGAGUUCCUACUCUGACUCCCUGGUCUUCCUCCCGCGCGGUCUGUGUGUUAGCUGGGAGGAGUGACGUGCAGUCACUUCCUCCCAGCGUGUGAUGUAAUAACAGACCGGCCCCCUCACAAUCCACAUCCAUCG